RNAcentral lists this ribosomal RNA (498 nucleotides) under uncultured bacterium. RNAcentral describes it as "partial 16S ribosomal RNA". It matches the Rfam family "Bacterial small subunit ribosomal RNA", at positions 28 to 523 of the family's 1533-position model. The record is from RNAcentral.
GAUGAACGCUAGCGGCAGGCCUAAUACAUGCAAGUCGAACGAUAGUGAGAAGCUUGCUUCUCACGAAAGUGGCGCACGGGUGCGUAACGCGUAUGCAACCUACCUUAAUCAGGGGGAUAGCCCGAAGAAAUUCGGAUUAACACCGCAUAAAAUCACAGUAUAGCAUUAUACAAUGAUCAAAUAUUUAUAGGAUUAAGAUGGGCAUGCGUGACAUCAGUUAGUUGGCGGGGUAACGGCCCACCAAGACCACGAUGUCUAGGGGAUCUGAGAGGAUGACCCCCCACACUGGUACUGAGAAACGGACCAGACUCCUACGGGAGGCAGCAGUAAGGAAUAUUGGUCAAUGGAGGCAACUCUGAACCAGCCAUGCCGCGUGCAGGAAGACAGCCCUCUGGGUCGUAAACUGCUUUUAUUCGGGAAUAAACCUAUCUACGUGUAGAUAGCUGAAUGUACCGAAGGAAUAAGGAUCGGCUAACUCCGUGCCAGCCGCCGCGGUAA